UGACAGUACUCCUACGGGGAGGCAGCAGUGGGGAAUAUUGCACAAUGGGCGCAAGCCUGAUGCAGCCAUGCCGCGUGUGUGAAGAAGGACCUUCGGGUUGUAAAGCACUUUCAGUCGUGAGGAAGGUAGUGUAGUUAAUAGCUGCAUUAUUUGACGUUAGCGACAGAAGAAGCACCGGCUAACUCCGUGCCAGCAGCCGCGGUAAUACGGAGGGUGCGAGCGUUAAUCGGAAUUACUGGGCGUAAAGCGCAUGCAGGUGGUUUGUUAAGUUCAGAUGUGAAAGACCCGGGGCUCAACCUCGGAAUAGCAUUUGAAACUGGCAGACUAGAGUACUGUAGAGGGGGGUAGGAAUUUCAGGUGUAGCGGUGAAAUGCGUAGAGAUCUGAAGGAAUACCGGUGGCGAAGGCGGCCCCCUCGGACAGAUACUGACACUCAGAUGCGAAAGCGUGGGGAGCAAACAGGAUUAGAUACCCUGGUAG
This 479-nucleotide ribosomal RNA is filed under the name uncultured bacterium. RNAcentral's name for it is "bacterial SSU rRNA". It matches the Rfam family "Bacterial small subunit ribosomal RNA", at positions 328 to 793 of the family's 1533-position model. The record is from RNAcentral.